Molecule: unclassified non-coding RNA, 650 nt
Filed under: Lysobacter enzymogenes
Lineage: Bacteria; Pseudomonadati; Pseudomonadota; Gammaproteobacteria; Lysobacterales; Lysobacteraceae
Description: partial may contain 16S ribosomal RNA, 16S-23S ribosomal RNA intergenic spacer, and 23S ribosomal RNA
Rfam family: Bacterial large subunit ribosomal RNA (bases 520-650)
Source: RNAcentral
UUGCGGCUGGAUCCCCUCCUUUAGAGACUAAAGACAGCUAAUUGCCUGUCAGGCGUCCGCACAAGUGACCUGCAUUCAGAGAUUCCGGCCUAGCGCCGGGAUUCGACCCGCGCUGUUCAAAACAGAACAUCGGGGCCAUAGCUCAGCUGGGAGAGCACCUGCUUUGCAAGCAGGGGGUCGUCGGUUCGAUCCCGACUGGCUCCACCACUGGGAUGAAGACACAUUGGGUCUGUAGCUCAGGUGGUUAGAGCGCACCCCUGAUAAGGGUGAGGCCGGUGGUUCGAGUCCUCCCAGACCCACCAUUCUCUGGAUGUCGAUUGCGCACACAUAUCAAGAUUUGAAGCGAACUGGCGCUGAAGCCGGUAUCGCGUUCUUUGAAAACCGGGACGUAGCGAGCGUUUGAGACGAAUGUCCAGACGUGUCGUAGAGGCUAAGGCGAGAUGUCGAGAGACAUCUUUAUUGAAGUUGUAGUCGUUGUGUUCGCGACGACAUUAACUCCGAGGCGACUUGGGGUUAUAUGGUCAAGCGAAUAAGCGCACACGGUGGAUGCCUUGGCGGUCAGAGGCGAUGAAGGACGUGGCAGCCUGCGAAAAGUGUCGGGGAGCUGGCAACAAGCUUUGAUCCGGCAAUGUCCGAAUGGGGAAACCCGG